This 71-nucleotide transfer RNA is filed under the name Sillago sihama (northern whiting). Its description in RNAcentral is "tRNA-Ile". It matches the Rfam family "tRNA". From Rfam's summary of the family: Transfer RNA (tRNA) molecules are approximately 80 nucleotides in length. The record is from RNAcentral. Lineage: Eukaryota; Metazoa; Chordata; Actinopteri; Sillaginidae.
GGAGUUGUGCCUGAAUUUAAAGGGCCACUUUGAUAGGGUGGAUAACGAGGGUUAGAACCCCUCCAACUCCU